AGAGUUUGAUCCUGGCUCAGAAUCAACGCUGGCGGCGUGCCUCAGACAUGCAAGUCGGACGCGAAAGGCCCCUUCGGGGGCCGAGUAGAGUGGCGCACGGGUGAGUAACACGUGGGUAAUUUGCCUUCGGGUGGGGAAUAACAGCCGGAAACGGCUGCUAAUACCGCAUAAUGCAGCGGCACCUAAUGGUGAGUAGUUGUUAAAGCAGGGGACCCUUCGGGGCCUUGCGCCUGAAGAGAAGCCCGCGGCGGAUUAGCUAGUUGGUAGGGUAACGGCCUACCAAGGCGACGAUCCGUAGCCGGCCUGAGAGGGCGGUCGGCCACACUGACACUGACAUACGGGUCAGACUCCUACGGGAGGCAGCAGUCGGGAAUUUUGGGCAAUGGGCGCAAGCCUGACCCAGCAACGCCGCGUGGAGGAUGAAGUCCCUCGGGAUGUAAACUCCGUAAGAAUGGGAAGAAUAAGAGGGGGCUAAUAUCCUUCUCGAUGACGGUACCGUUCGUAAGCUCCGGCUAACUCCGUGCCAGCAGCCGCGGUAAUACGGGGGGAGCAAGCGUUGUUCGGAUUUACUGGGCGUAAAGGGCGCGUAGGCGGCGCAACAAGUCACUUGUGAAAUCUCCGGGCUCAACUCGGAGCGGCCAAGUGAUACUGUCGUGCUAGAGUGCGGAAGGGGCGACUGGAAUUCUCGGUGUAGCGGUGAAAUGCGUAGAUAUCGAGAGGAACACCUGUGGCGAAGGCGGGUCGCUGGGCCGACACUGACGCUGAGGCGCGAAAGCUAGGGGAGCGAACGGGAUUAGAUACCCCGGUAGUCCUAGCCUUAAACGAUGGAUGCUUGGUGUCCGAGGUUUGAUAGUCCUCGGGUGCCGUCGCUAACGCAUUAAGCAUCCCGCCUGGGGAGUACGGUCGCAAGACUGAAACUCAAAGGAAUUGACGGGGACCCGCACAAGCGGUGGAGCAUGUGGUUUAAUUCGACGCAACGCG
RNAcentral lists this ribosomal RNA (981 nucleotides) under uncultured bacterium. RNAcentral's name for it is "bacterial SSU rRNA". It matches the Rfam family "Bacterial small subunit ribosomal RNA", at positions 8 to 963 of the family's 1533-position model. The record is from RNAcentral.